Zea mays is the source of this 1317-nucleotide RNA transcript. RefSeq lists it as uncharacterized. The record is from RefSeq and is marked validated. NCBI's taxonomy places the organism in Eukaryota, Viridiplantae, Streptophyta, Magnoliopsida, Poales, Poaceae. The transcript is spliced from 2 exons.
CAACCCAAACCGCCCGCUACUACGUUACGUUGGCAGCGCGAAAAACCAAAAAAACGUCCACCACCUCCGUGCGCAUGCACCGGCGCCACCGAGCCGGCCCGCCUCAGCCGCACACCUCACUGGCGGGGAGCCGGGGAUCAUGGGGGCAGCAGCGGACGACGCUGCGUCAGUGCGGGCCGCGGUGAUGCGGCUCAGCUUCGGCGCGGCGGCGGAGGAGAGGCGGGACGCCGCGGGGGAGGUCGCGAGGCUGGCGCGCGCGGACGAGCGGACCAAGCGCCUCCUGCCCGAGCUCGGCGUCCUGCCCCCGCUCCUGGACAUGCUGGGCGGCGCGGGACCGGGGGCGCGCCUGGCCGCGGCGGGGGCGCUGCUGGAGCUCGCCCGAGGGACGCACAGGUUCGUCGAAAUAAGGUGCGCAUCGUGCAGGCCGGCCUGCUCAAGAAGUUGCCGGUGGUCGCGGACGACAGGGACGUGUGCAGAAGCCAGGAGCUGGCGCUGCUGCUCCUGUCCAUCUCGUCGCUAGCCAACACCGACUUCCCGCUCCGCACCACCGAGCUCCUCCCGUUCCUCGUGGCCACGCUGGGAGCCACCGACGUCCCGCCCGACGCGAAGCUGCCGUGCCUGGCCGCGCUCCGCAACCUGUCGGCGAAGCUGGAGCACGCGCGCGACGUGGCGUCCAGCGGGGCCGUGCGCGCGCUCCUGCCGCUCUCGCUGGAGCCCAAGACGUCGGAGCCGGCGCUGGCCGUCCUCGGGGAGCUGGCGGCGGCGGCGGGGCGGGAGGCGAUGGAGGCGGAGGGCGAGGCGGUGCCGCGGGCGCUCCUGGAGGCCAUGACGCGGCACGGGAGCGCGCGGUGCCAGGAGCGCGCCACGUACCUGGCCAUGGUGCUCGCGCACGGCAGCCGCGCGCUGCGGCGCGCCAUGCGCCGGCUCGGCGUCGUGCAGGCGCUCCUGGAGGUCUCGCUACUCAGCAGCAGCCCACUCGCGCAGCGGAGGGCGGCCAUCAUCCUGCGCUGGUUCAAGGAGGAUGGGCCGCAGAGCAGGACGACCAGGGCGCAUUCGGGGCCUCGCGUGGAGGGAGUGGCAGAGGCCACGUCGUGCCGCGACGACGACGUAGCCGGCGAGGCGAAGGGUUGCCGGGAUACCACCGUGGACGAGAUUGUGAGGCGGAGCCUGGAUAGGAACAUGAAGUCUAUACUGAGGAGGGCCACGGCGUCCGUGGACCUGACCAAUGUUAAACUGCUCGUUACGAGCUCCAGCUCUAAGAGCUUGCCUUGCUGAACUCACAAGUCACAAUGACACAAGUGCUCAGUUUUCCCUGGA